RNAcentral lists this ribosomal RNA (200 nucleotides) under uncultured bacterium. RNAcentral describes it as "partial 16S ribosomal RNA". It matches the Rfam family "Bacterial small subunit ribosomal RNA", at positions 28 to 256 of the family's 1533-position model. The record is from RNAcentral.
GAUGAACGCUAGCGGCAGGCUUAACACAUGCAAGUCGAACGGACCCUUCGGGGUUAGUGGCGGACGGGUGAGUAACACGUGGGAACGUGCCUUUAGGUUCGGAAUAGCUCCUGGAAACGGGUGGUAAUACCGAAUGUGCCCUUCGGGGGAAAGAUUUAUCGCCUUUAGAGCGGCCCGCGUCUGAUUAGCUUGUUGGUGAG